UACGGGGGGGGCAAGCGUUGUCCGGAAUUAUUGGGCGUAAAGAGCUCGUAGGCGGUCUGUUGCGUCUGCUGUGAAAACCCGGGGCUUAACCCCUGGCUUGCAGUGGAUACGGACAGACUAGAGGUAGGUAGGGGAGAAUGGAAUUCCCGGUGUAGCGGUGAAAUGCGCAGAUAUCGGGAGGAACACCGGUGGCGAAGGCGGUUCUCUGGGCCUUACCUGACGCUGAGGAGCGAAAGCGUGGGGAGCGAACAGG
Molecule: ribosomal RNA, 253 nt
Filed under: uncultured bacterium
Lineage: Bacteria
Description: partial 16S ribosomal RNA
Rfam family: Bacterial small subunit ribosomal RNA
Source: RNAcentral